This 114-nucleotide ribozyme is filed under the name Aedes aegypti (yellow fever mosquito). RNAcentral's name for it is "drz-agam-1 ribozyme". It matches the Rfam family "drz-agam-1 ribozyme". Lineage: Eukaryota; Metazoa; Arthropoda; Insecta; Diptera; Culicidae. The record is from Rfam by way of RNAcentral.
UGUCCAAACUCCUAUCCCUACCUCCUCGCGGUACUUGUCAGGGUACGAGUAACCCUAGGGAAGAUCGGGUAACCAACCCCGGUGGGAAGUCUGGUCGUAUGAUGACAGGGAAGG